RNAcentral lists this ribosomal RNA (227 nucleotides) under uncultured Pasteurellales bacterium. RNAcentral's name for it is "partial 16S ribosomal RNA". It matches the Rfam family "Bacterial small subunit ribosomal RNA", at positions 104 to 334 of the family's 1533-position model. The record is from RNAcentral. Lineage: Bacteria; Pseudomonadati; Pseudomonadota; Gammaproteobacteria; Pasteurellales.
GGGUGAGUAAUGCUUGGGAAUCUGGCUUAUGGAGGGGGAUAACUACGGGAAGCUGUAGCUAAUACCGCGUAGUAUCGGAAGAUGAAAGUGCGGGACCGUAAGGCCGCAUGCCAUGAGAUGAGCCCAAGUGGGAUUAGGUAGUUGGUGGGGUAAAGGCCUACCAAGCCUGCGAUCUCUAGCUGGUCUGAGAGGAUGGCCAGCCACACUGGAACUGAGACACGGUCCAG